GUUCGCAGAAAGUGAUGUGAUGUUUUAUGUAAUUUGUUGCAUAUAUCGUGUGUUGAAGGAUGUCUGUUUUGUUUAGGAACGUAACAAAUAGCAUCUGGCAUGCAUUCAAUUCUUUGGCUACAGAUAACAAUGGGUUUGUUAUGAAAUCAAAGCUUAAGGUCUUGACUGCAAACAUUGGCACUUUAUUAGAUAUCUAUGGAGUUGAAAAAGGAUUGGAACAUUUUCGCAGUACAUCAAACCUGAACUUUGAACAUUACAGAUAUUAUCUUCAAAAAGAGGUUUUUUCAUCCUUUCCUGACUCUGCCUUGUCUCUGAGUGUACUAAGAGAUUUGGAAGAAAGAAUUGAUGAAGUUUGCUGGCUGGUCUGUCAGAAACGUUACUUGGAUCAGAGAGAACACCCUUUGUUUCAAGAUCAUUGUGUAUACAAGUUAUUCCGAAUCUUCUGUCUCCUUGCUGAAUUACUACCAGACAAUAGUACUGACUUCCAUGAUUGUUUUCAGGUUCUUCUUCAUCUUUCAGAAGCUCAAAGUGUAGCUUGCCAGCUGGAGUCUGCAUUGGGAUUGUCUGAAAAUGAUGCUUCUUUAUCAGGGUUUGAUUCCAUAGCUGGCGUGACGUCAGCAUUCCGUUUCUCAACGUUUCUUGCUAUUCUCGAAGCAAGAUGCAGUGCUAGAGAUGUGGACAGGAGCAGUUUGGAGCAGGACGGUAUUGAUGAGGCAGUUACUGAUAUGUACAACAUGUACUUGUAUGACGUGAUCAAGAAGGGUCCCCUAUUGAAACGGGGCUACUUACUGCCAACUCUGCGGGAGUACUUGUUUGUCCUGCAGCCUACAGAACUGAAUUAUUACAAAGCACAAGAUGAGCGAGAACAUUGUGGAACCAUUACUCUUAAUGCACAUUGUCGUGUAGAUGCGUGCUCUAACACUGGGCGAGACAAGGUGCAGAGGUUCGUGCUGUAUACAGGAGAGCGUAACAUUGAGUUGGCAGCAGCAGAUCACUGCAGCAGGUUGCAGUGGCUGUCUGCUUUGCAGACUGCUAUAGCUCAUAGUUCUGGUACUGGAUAUCAGCGUCUGCAGGCCCACCGUCGCCAGCAGCAGCGUGAUGUGGCAGAAAAGAACCGCCGCAUCGAAGAAAUCCGCCGUCGUAGCAGUCAUCUUUUUGAUAUGGAACAGACCCGUGCCCAGUUGCAAGCUGAAAAAAUGGCUCGGGUAGCAGCCGAGAGUCAGGCGCGAGCCCUGGAGGCCGUUCAUCUUGAAGAAGAACGGAAGCUGCAGGAGCUGGAAAAUGUUCGUGCCAGACUUGAAAAAUUGCUGGAAGAGGAGACACAAGCCAAGCGGGACGAAGAGAUUGUACGAAACUUGCAGGCUAGAGUUCUAAGGGAAGAGUGGGAGAAACGUGAGGAAUUGGAGCAGCUGCAAGACGAGCAAAGAAUUUUACUUGAACAAGAGCGAGAGAAGAGACGGGAAUUUGAGACGAGACAACAUGAGAAAGAAACUAAACUGCUAGAGGCAGAGAAGCGAUUGAGGCAGCUUGAAGAGGACCGGCUGCAGCUGGAUACAGAGCUUAAUUUUGCGAGGGACAAGAUCAUGGUCUCCGAGAAGUCAAAAGAGGUGCUUGAAGCGCAGCUCAGGGUAAUGGGGCAUCAGGUACGACAGUCAGAUCGCGUGAGACGUGCUUUGAGCUUCAUGCCUUCUACUAAAGAGUGUCCAAGUUUGGUCAGUUUGCGUCGACCAGCACGAGACAAUGGUCAAAUGACAGAUGAUGGUUAAUUCCUGAUGACAUCAUUAAAUACUUGCUUAACCCCUUUUACUGAUGUGUCAUGUAACAUGAUGGAGUACGCUGUAGCUGUGGUGUAGUCUCAAAUGAAGUUACAGAAUCCAUCCAUGACAUCAGUGAGCACCUGAUGCUGGUGUUCAAGGAAUCUGACAUCAUAAGUGCACAAGUUAUUGUGAACCCUCCAAUGCCAUCAAGACAAGUGUCCCAGCAUCCUUAAGAGGGGUGUCAUCAUGGACAUGGACAUAUGUUCAUGACAAAUGGCUGUUGUCAUGUUCUCAUGACCAGUGUCAUUGGCCAUGGGUCCAUUUCAAGUUUAGGUAUGGCAAACCUUUUUAAAGUCCUGUGUUUGUUUCUGUGAUGUAUUUCAAAUAAAUUAUUCCUUACAGUAUUAAUUGAGAGGUUUGCUCUUGAAUUUUGGCUACUAAUGCUGUUACAUCAGAUUGGCAAUUGUCUUCCUCAAAUUCAUGAAUGCAACACUACUUCCACUGGUAAAAUUAUUUCUGAAAUUGAAGUUCUCAUGAUUCAUCUUGGGAAAACAGGCAUCGCAAGGGAAAUUUUAUCACCACCACUUAAAACUUUUAAAGUGAGAAAGUUUUGGAUGAGCUGUUUCACUUAAACUAGCCAGUUUGAAGAGUUCUUGACUUUGUUUACCUUUCACAGAAUUAACUAUGAUGUCUAAUCAUCACAAAGAUGUGACAUCUGCCAUUUCGUGGUGGCAAAUGGAGAAAUAAGUACAGCAGGUUUAAUGGGACAUGAGCUAAGGACUUAAGUUGUUUACCACUCAAAUGAAUAUUGCAAAACCCAUAGCCCAUGUCCCAUUGAACUAACUGUACAAGAAUGUGAAUCCAUGUUCAGUUCCAGUGUCAGGUUAAUUGUGAUGCAUUGUGUCUGAUCCUUGGAUUCAUUUUCUAGAGGCCUAAAGGUUCAAUCUGAACAAUGGAUGUUACAGCAAGGAACAGCCAUUCCCAGCGUCUAGUAGACGACUAUGCUGUGCUGGGUUUAUGGCCAGUCCAGUCUAUUGAAAACAGCUUUCACUGCACACACAGGCUGGCACGGAAAACAGAGUGAUGGAGGAACCUUCGCUGCAUCAAGUUUUUACAUACCCCUCGAAAAUGGAUCAUUGAAAUUGCCACAAAAUGCAAAUCUUCCUCAAACUGAUGUGUCACUUCAUGUUUUAUUAGGUGAUGACGCGUAUCCUUUAAAGACUUAUCUGAUGAAACCAUAUUCAAAAAGAGCUUUAUCAAGGGAAGAACACAUGUAUAAUUACAGACUCUCCAGAGCACGGAGUGCCUUCGGUAUAAUUGCAGCCAAUUACUCUGAACCAGAUAAAGCUGAUUUAAUCGUAAAGUGCAUAUGCUUGUUACAUAAUAAUAUUAUUGAGAAGGAAAGUAUUUAUGAUCCAUCUAUCACAUCGUCGACACCACAAAAUGCAAGCAUAAUAAAUAUAAUCAAUCACUAUCAAAUAAUAGGUCAGCACAACAGGCUUGUGACAUCGGAGACGCAUUUAAAAAGUAUUUUAACAGUAGUGAAGGUAGCAUUAUCCAACAGUUCAACGUUCCCUAAUUAUCUGUGCCACACACAAUCCACUACUUCAACAAACAUAAAUGUAGAAUUUGUACUGGUGUAGCAAGGAAGAGUUUGUAAUAAACUUAAAUUGCAAUA
Zootermopsis nevadensis is the source of this 3435-nucleotide RNA transcript. It is a transcript of the gene named differentially expressed in FDCP 6, with no coding region annotated. Lineage: Eukaryota; Metazoa; Arthropoda; Insecta; Blattodea; Termopsidae. The record is from RefSeq and is a predicted model, not a curated record.